Pollicipes pollicipes is the source of this 350-nucleotide long non-coding RNA. RefSeq lists it as uncharacterized. NCBI's taxonomy places the organism in Eukaryota, Metazoa, Arthropoda, Thecostraca, Pollicipedomorpha, Pollicipedidae. The transcript is spliced from 3 exons. The record is from RefSeq and is a predicted model, not a curated record.
CGGAACAACACCAUCUGAAUGACCUGAUAUCCGGCUGUGACCUCACCGAUCUCUCCCACUUCGACGACACCAGCGGCGACGGCAAGCUCGACAUCAACGAGUUCUACAUCGCCUUCAACAAGCUAUACAGCAUCGCCAUGGUGUCGCUGGACAAAUCUCUGGAGGUGAACCUUCUGUCCGCUCUGGUGGGUGACAACGUCGAGAUCAAGUGUGACGUCACUGGGUCUCCGGCGCCCCGCGUCGUCUGGAGACGGUCGGGUCGGGAGCUGACUCAGCUGCAGGACGAGGCUCUGCGCGUGUUCCCGGACGGCUCCCUGUACCUGAGCCAUGUGCAGCUGAUCCACGCCGGC